Molecule: long non-coding RNA, 1014 nt
Filed under: Sus scrofa (pig)
Lineage: Eukaryota; Metazoa; Chordata; Mammalia; Artiodactyla; Suidae
Description: lncRNA (ENSSSCG00070006750.1)
Source: RNAcentral
GGGAAACCUGGGCAGCUUUGCCUCAACAGGUUGGAAACUACACGGCUGCGCUGGCCCUGAACUGUCCUCCCCGGAGACCUGGUGGACUUCACGCGCGGUCACGCCCGGGCUCAAGGGCGCGAUCCACUGCGGCCGCUCAGCGCUGGGAGGAAAGAAGCCGACGACUGUGACACAGGCCGGGGGUGGGGGUGGGGGUGGGGGUGGGGGGCGCGGCAGUGGAUGCCCGGGCGUCUCGGAGCCACCGCGCGUGUAGCAGCCGCCACCACGACCUCAGCCUCCGGGCCUCGCUGGCCCUCAGCCGGCAACUUUGUCCGCCGAGAGCACCAACUUCCGCACGGAGCUGCCGAAGUUGGGUCGCGACACGAGGGACUCAGGACACCGCUGGCCCGCACCAUCCCCAGCCCGGCCCGCUCCCCGGGUCCCGCGGCGCGCCCAGGUGGCGCGAACCCCUGAAUCGAGGAAUGAAUGGCUGUCGCGGGACACUCGGGACAGGCAGCCCCAGCUCGACGUCGUCCCCCCUCUGACCACCGCCCGCGGGCCACCUGCGCGCGUGGUUGGAGCCUGGGCCGACUCUCGGGACCAAAGCCGAGACAGGCUGGGGAGAGGCCGUCGUCCCUGGGACUGGCGGGAGACCCGUACGAAGGGCGGCCGGAGUCGGGCGGGCCUGGCGCAAGCACGCUUGCGUCUCCGCUGGUCUUACCUGGCUCUGCGGACGCCGCGCGGACUCCGAGCAGCACGACCAGGGCGGCGAGCAAGUCCCGGAGGCGCCGCCGCCGCGGCUGCAGCCGAGGCCACCUGCGGGCACAGAGCACAAGUUAGAGCGCUGCGUGCGCCUGCGUUCCCCGCCGGUGCGACCCCGCUGCCCGCGCCCGUCCGCGGCCCGGCGCGGCCCGCACCUCGGCGCCAUGCUCGGCGGGCCGGACGGACUGUGCCGCGGGAUGCUGCGCCCUCCGCCGCGGUGCACCCGCUCGGCCAGCCGGGCUCUGGCCGCAGCCGGGGCCAGGCGGGGGGGCG